Molecule: transfer RNA, 70 nt
Filed under: Siphonops hardyi
Lineage: Eukaryota; Metazoa; Chordata; Amphibia; Gymnophiona; Siphonopidae
Description: tRNA-Ala
Rfam family: tRNA
About the family: Transfer RNA (tRNA) molecules are approximately 80 nucleotides in length. Their secondary structure includes four short double-helical elements and three loops (D, anti-codon, and T loops). Further hydrogen bonds mediate the characteristic L-shaped molecular structure. tRNAs have two regions of fundamental functional importance: the anti-codon, which is responsible for specific mRNA codon recognition, and the 3' end, to which the tRNAs corresponding amino acid is attached (by aminoacyl-tRNA synthetases). tRNAs cope with the degeneracy of the genetic code in two manners: having more than one tRNA (with a specific anti-codon) for a particular amino acid; and 'wobble' base-pairing, i.e. permitting non-standard base-pairing at the 3rd anti-codon position.
Source: RNAcentral
AAGGCCUUAGCUUAAAGUAAAGCGUCUGAGUUGCAAUUGGAAGAUGUUGGAUAAAAUUUAGCAGGUCUUA